RNAcentral lists this ribosomal RNA (608 nucleotides) under uncultured bacterium. Its description in RNAcentral is "bacterial SSU rRNA". It matches the Rfam family "Bacterial small subunit ribosomal RNA", at positions 338 to 948 of the family's 1533-position model. The record is from RNAcentral.
CCUACGGGAGGCAGCAGUAGGGAAUAUUGGACAAUGGGCGCAAGCCUGAUCCAGCCAUCCCGCGUGAAGGAUUAAGGCCCUCUGGGUUGUAAACUUCUUUUCUCUGGGAAUAAAAACCGGUAUUCAUACUGGCUUGAAGGUACCAGAGGAAUAAGCACCGGCUAACUCCGUGCCAGCAGCCGCGGUAAUACGGAGGGUGCAAGCGUUAUCCGGAUUCACUGGGUUUAAAGGGUGCGUAGGUGGCUUUGUAAGUCAGUGGUGAAAUGCCGCAGCUCAACUGCGGAACUGCCAUUGAUACUGCUUAGCUUGAAUCACGUCGAGGUGGAUGGAAUAAUACAUGUAGCGGUGAAAUGCUUAGAUAUGUAUUAGAACACCGAUUGCGAAGGCAGUUCACUAGGCGUGUAUUGACACUGAGGCACGAAAGCGUGGGGAUCAAACAGGAUUAGAUACCCUGGUAGUCCACGCCCUAAACGAUGUAAACUCGACAUUAGCGAUAUACUGUUAGUGUCCAAGCGAAAGCGUUAAGUUUACCACCUGGAAGUACGACCGCAAGUUGAAACUCAAAUGAAUUGACGGCUGAGAGNGCGAGACGACGACGAGGGAGGAGG